This 1188-nucleotide long non-coding RNA is filed under the name Oncorhynchus mykiss (rainbow trout). Its description in RNAcentral is "lncRNA (ENSOMYG00000063377.1)". The record is from RNAcentral. Lineage: Eukaryota; Metazoa; Chordata; Actinopteri; Salmoniformes; Salmonidae.
CUCCCUCUCUGCUCUACUAAACCCUGCUUCCUGUCCCACAUAGACUCCUCCUGCAGGGUUCAUCUCAGGUCUCUGACGGUUUAGAUGUUCUCAUAUGGAGGCAGCAUCCCUCUAUAAGAUCACUGAGAUGAGUUGAUGAGAAGCCACCUCUAAUUCAUGUGGAGUGGUUUGUCUGUCUCAUUCUUUCUGUCUCCUUAACAGUGAGUCAACAUGAUCAGAAUUCUUAUCUCCAUCACCAUGGGUUACACAGCCUGGGCUGCAGGUUCUUCUCUCAGUAACCAGGUUCACCAAACACCUGCAGCCCUGUACAAGAAACAGGGAGAGUUGUUUAAGAUGGAGUGUUCACAUAGUAUAUCAACCUAUAAUGUCAUCCUCUGGUACAAGCAAUCCAACUACAGAGAAUUGGUGUUUUUAGGAUACAUGACAGCAAAAACUGGAUUUCCUGAGGCUGGAUUUGAUAUAGAAGGAGAUGCUAGUGCAGGUGGUACCAGCACCUUAACCAUCAAACAACUAACUCCAAAUAGCAGUGCUGUCUAUUACUGUGCUGCUAGUUUACACAGUGCAUCAGAUCUCCCUCUCUGCUCUACAAAAACCUCCUGGUGUACCCCUGGUGUACUGCAGACUAAUCACACCUGUAUUAACAUUACACUGUAUCUGACUCUGAUUCAAUGCCAAAACACUCACCAGCUGGUCUAAUAGAAAGGGGAGGUUCCCUCUGAUAUACAGGAGACCAUGAUACAGUAUGGUAUGAUAUCAUGUAUUUCCUGUAGGUGGAGUUACAGCUCAACUAAUCCAUGUGGACUCACCAGACACAGUACCACAGUAAACUAUGGUGUGUAGUAAGGAGUCUGAGAGUUGAAGAUCCAUGUCCUUUUAAAUGUUCAUCUGGACCUUUGAACGUGAAUCUCUUGAUUAUUCUGGAAUACAGAUUAGAUACUGUCUAAAAUAAUCUAUAAUUCCAUAUAUUUCCUGAAUGACUACAGUACUUAUAACAAACAGGUCUCUCUCUCCUCUUCUGUAACAGGUGAACUGCUCUGUUCCAGCGUUCUUCAGUCUCCAUCUUCAGUAUUUCAGAGUUCUGAAGAAACUGCUGUGCUGUUCACACAGCUACAACACCAUACUGUGGUAUCAGCAGGUGGAACACACUCUCCCCAGCUACAACACCAUACUGUGGUAUCAGCAGGUGGA